Molecule: long non-coding RNA, 660 nt
Filed under: Salmo trutta (river trout)
Lineage: Eukaryota; Metazoa; Chordata; Actinopteri; Salmoniformes; Salmonidae
Description: lncRNA (ENSSTUG00000029184.1)
Source: RNAcentral
GUUAAAAUGACAAGGAGAAACACAAGGAAGCAUGUCCUCUUUCUUUCCAGGGAUAGGUUUGAGGCAAAAACAUUAGGAAUUAGCAAACAAUAGUGACUGUUGGAUCAGUCGAAGAUCAAAUGAAAGCUGUACUAGACUGUCUGGUCACUGAGGAUAAAAUACCCACAGAUGUCAGCACUACUUUGAAGCUCUUCAUAAACAACCUUGAUGAGUGCUCAAGGAGCAGCAUAAAGCGAUGCAAAGAGUGCAGUCUGGAGGAGGCAGGCUAGCUGCUGAGGAAGAUCCCAGAGAAGCAGCCCCAGUGUUUGGAGGAGAAGCACUACUGAUCAGGCUCCUCGUCGCCAUACAGAUGUAGAUGUUUAACAUCUCCAUUGCAAAUUAGACCAGAUGUUUCAACAUCUGGCGAAAGUCAACCACUUGCGGGUUUUUAGAGAGAUCCAACCCUGUUUGUUCACUAUAGUGGAAAAUGAUCAGGUGUGUGCAGUCAACACCUACAGGCCCUGGUGCGGGGCUCUGGGCUGAGGGUGGUUGCGCUGCAGUUUACCCAGGCUGUGGCUAUGCUGUCCCUGACCCUUCUCAGCUCCCACUGCUGGACCAUGAGGAACGCUGCCCUACUGCGCUCUGUGCUCCAGGAUGCUGGGUCAGUGCUCUGGGGGUGAG